GACGAACGCUGGCGGCGUGCUUAACACAUGCAAGUCGAACGGAAAGGCCCUGCUUUUGUGGGGUGCUCGAGUGGCGAACGGGUGAGUAACACGUGAGUAACCUGCCCUUGACUUUGGGAUAACUUCAGGAAACUGGGGCUAAUACCGGAUAGGAGCUCCUGCUGCAUGGUGGGGGUUGGAAAGUUUCGGCGGUUGGGGAUGGACUCGCGGCUUAUCAGCUUGUUGGUGGGGUAGUGGCUUACCAAGGCUUUGACGGGUAGCCGGCCUGAGAGGGUGACCGGCCACAUUGGGACUGAGAUACGGCCCAGACUCCUACGGGAGGCAGCAGUGGGGAAUACUGCACAAUGGGCGUAAGCCUGAUGCAGCAACGCCGCGUGCGGGAUGACGGCCUUCGGGUUGUAAACCGCUUUCGCCUGUGACGAAGCGUGAGUGACGGUAAUGGGUAAAGAAGCACCGGCUAACUACGUGCCAGCAGCCGCGGUGAUACGUAGGGUGCGAGCGUUGUCCGGAUUUAUUGGGCGUAAAGGGCUCGUAGGUGGUUGAUCGCGUCGGAAGUGUAAUCUUGGGGCUUAACCCUGAGCGUGCUUUCGAUACGGGUUGACUUGAGGAAGGUAGGGGAGAAUGGAAUUCCUGGUGGAGCGGUGGAAUGCGCAGAUAUCAGGAGGAACACCAGUGGCGAAGGCGGUUCUCUGGGCCUUUCCUGACGCUGAGGAGCGGAAGCGUGGGGAGCGAACAGGCUUAGAUACCCUGGUAGUCCACGCUGUAAACGGUGGGUACUAGGUGUGGGGUCCAUUCCACGGGUUCCGUGCCGUAGCUAACGCUUUAAGUACCCCGCCUGGGGAGUACGGCCGCAAGGCUAAAACUCAAAGGAAUUGACGGGGCCCCGCACAAGCGGCGGAGCAUGCGGAUUAAUUCGAUGCAACGCGUAGAACCUUACCUGGGUUUGACAUGGAUCGGGAGUGCUCAGAGAUGGGUGUGCCUCUUUUGGGGUCGGUCCACAGGUGGUGCAUGGCUGUCGUCAGCUCGUGUCGUGAGAUGUUGGGUUAAGUCCCGCAACGAGCGCAACCCUUGUUCACUGUUGCCAGCACGUUAUGGUGGGGACUCAGUGGAGACCGCCGGGGUCAACUCGGAGGAAGGUGGGGAUGACGUCAAGUCAUCAUGCCCCUUAUGUCCAGGGCUUCACGCAUGCUACAAUGGCUGGUACAGAGAGUGGCGAGCCUGUGAGGGUGAGCGAAUCUCGGAAAGCCGGUCUCAGUUCGGAUUGGGGUCUGCAACUCGACCUCAUGAAGUCGGAGUCGCUAGUAAUCGCAGAUCAGCAACGCUGCGGUGAAUACGUUCCCGGG
Molecule: ribosomal RNA, 1343 nt
Filed under: uncultured bacterium
Lineage: Bacteria
Description: 16S ribosomal RNA
Rfam family: Bacterial small subunit ribosomal RNA
Source: RNAcentral